AGGCUUGCUCGGGUUGCCUUCUCGAUCCUUCCGCGGCUCCUCCUUGGGAGGUGUCGUCGUUGCGUCGGAUGCUUCUCGUCUCGCGUUGGGACGACGCAUGAGUGGCUAUUAGGAUAUGUUCCCACGGCAGGCUCCGUGUUUCAGGCAUCGAACUGCUUUGGUCUAUCCGUUUCAUCUGUUGGAUCGCCUCGACCCUUUUAGGGUCGGUUGCGAUUCCUCGCUGGGUUCCUGUGUUGGUUAUCCGAUUGCGGUAGUUGGACGGAUUGUUGUCCCCGUAUGGGUUCCGCUGAUUUUCCUCCGCCUUCCGGGCGUUGGUGGGUUAUCGUGCGGGCAUCGAAGAUGUUCGUCCGGGCCGUUGUCCCCCGUUAGGGCGCUUCUGCUCGAGACGGCUAGUCGAUGCUAUCGCCGCACUCUCGGGUACGGUUAUUUCCGCUGGCCAUCGCAAUAGGUGUUCGCCGGCCGAUGCGCUCUCUACGCGUCGAAAGCGUUAUUGCUUCCGCUCGCGCGACCCUCGUGCUUGUCUAAGAGCUCACGGGGCAUCCUUGUUCCGUGUUCAUCUCGGGCAUGCGUCGAGGUCUACGAAAGAAUGCUACCUGGUUGA
RNAcentral lists this unclassified non-coding RNA (601 nucleotides) under Pachyloma huberioides. Its description in RNAcentral is "partial may contain 26S ribosomal RNA, external transcribed spacer, 18S ribosomal RNA". The record is from RNAcentral. Lineage: Eukaryota; Viridiplantae; Streptophyta; Magnoliopsida; Myrtales; Melastomataceae.